This 222-nucleotide ribosomal RNA is filed under the name uncultured Staphylococcus sp. RNAcentral describes it as "partial 16S ribosomal RNA". It matches the Rfam family "Bacterial small subunit ribosomal RNA", at positions 138 to 354 of the family's 1533-position model. Lineage: Bacteria; Bacillati; Bacillota; Bacilli; Caryophanales; Staphylococcaceae. The record is from RNAcentral.
UGGGAUAAACUUCGGGAAACCGGAGCUAUACCGGAUAAUAUAUUGAACCGCAUGGUUCAAUAGUGAAAGACGGUUUUGCUGUCACUUAUAGAUGGAUCCGCGCCGCAUUAGCAGUUGGUAAGGUAACGGCUUACCAAGGCAACGAUGCGUAGCCGACCUGAGAGGGUGAUCGGCCACACUGGAACUGAGACACGGUCCAGACUCCUACGGGAGGCAGCAGAU